CAGCCGUAAACUAUGCUCGCUAGGUGUCAGGCAUGGCGCGACCGUGUCUGGUGCCGCAGGGAAGCCGUGAAGCGAGCCACCUGGGAAGUACGGCCGCAAGGCUGAACUUAAAGGAAUUGGCGGGGGAGCACAACAACGGGUGGAGCCUGCGGUUUAAUUGGACUCAACGCCGGACAACUCACCGGGAACGACAGCAAUAUGUAGGCCAGGCUGAAGACUCUGCAUGACUAGCUGAGAGGAGGUGCAUGGCGUAGACGUCU
RNAcentral lists this ribosomal RNA (260 nucleotides) under uncultured archaeon. Its description in RNAcentral is "partial 16S ribosomal RNA". It matches the Rfam family "Archaeal small subunit ribosomal RNA", at positions 748 to 1009 of the family's 1478-position model. The record is from RNAcentral.